This 112-nucleotide non-coding RNA is filed under the name uncultured Butyrivibrio sp. RNAcentral describes it as "FMN riboswitch (RFN element)". It matches the Rfam family "FMN riboswitch aptamer (RFN element)". From Rfam's summary of the family: The RFN element is a highly conserved domain that is found frequently in the 5'-untranslated regions of prokaryotic mRNAs that encode for flavin mononucleotide (FMN) biosynthesis and transport proteins. This element is a metabolite-dependent riboswitch that directly binds FMN in the absence of proteins. Lineage: Bacteria; Bacillati; Bacillota; Clostridia; Lachnospirales; Lachnospiraceae. The record is from RNAcentral.
AAUCUUCGGGGCAGGGUGCAAUUCCCUACCGGCGGUACAGCCCGCGACUCUUGUAUAAGAUUGAUUCGGUGUAAUUCCGAAGCCGACAGUAUAGUCUGGAUGGAAGAAGACG